Molecule: ribosomal RNA, 1960 nt
Filed under: Streptococcus pneumoniae
Lineage: Bacteria; Bacillati; Bacillota; Bacilli; Lactobacillales; Streptococcaceae
Description: partial 23S ribosomal RNA
Rfam family: Bacterial large subunit ribosomal RNA
Source: RNAcentral
GGUUAAGUUAAUAAGGGCGCACGGUGGAUGCCUUGGCACUAGGAGCCGACGAAGGACGUGACAAACGACGAUAUGCCUUGGGUAGCUGUAAGUAAGCGAUGAUCCAGGGAUUUCCGAAUGGGGGAACCCAACAGGUAGUACCUGUUACCCACAUCUGUUAAGGAUGUGAGGAGGAAGACGCAGUGAACUGAAACAUCUAAGUAGCUGCAGGAAGAGAAAGCAAAAGCGAUUGCCUUAGUAGCGGCGAGCGAAACGGCAGGAGGGCAAACCGAAGAGUUUACUCUUCGGGGUUGUAGGACUGCAAUGUGGACUCAAAGAUUAUAGAAGAAUGAUUUGGGAAGAUCAGCCAAAGAGAGUAAUAGCCUCGUAUUUAAAAUAGUCUUUGUACCUAGCAGUAUCCUGAGUACGGCGGGACACGUGAAAUCCCGUCGGAAUCUGGGAGGACCAUCUCCCAACCCUAAAUACUCCCUAGUGACCGAUAGUGAACCAGUACCGUGAGGGAAAGGUGAAAAGCACCCCGGGAGGGGAGUGAAAUAGAACCUGAAACCGUGUGCCUACAACAAGUUCGAGCCCGUUAAUGGGUGAGAGCGUGCCUUUUGUAGAAUGAACCGGCGAGUUACGUUAUGAUGCGAGGUUAAGUUGAAGAGACGGAGCCGUAGGGAAACCGAGUCUGAAUAGGGCGCCUUAGUAUCAUGACGUAGACCCGAAACCAUGUGACCUACCCAUGAGCAGGUUGAAGGUGCGGUAAGACGCACUGGAGGACCGAACCAGGGCACGUUGAAAAGUGCUUGGAUGACUUGUGGGUAGCGGAGAAAUUCCAAACGAACUUGGAGAUAGCUGGUUCUCUCCGAAAUAGCUUUAGGGCUAGCGUCGACAUUAGAGAUUCUUGGAGGUAGAGCACUGUUUGGGUGAGGGGUCCAUCCCGGAUUACCAAUCUCAGAUAAACUCCGAAUGCCAAUGAAUUAUGGUCGGCAGUCAGACUGCGAGUGCUAAGAUCCGUAGUCGAAAGGGAAACAGCCCAGACCACCAGCUAAGGUCCCAAAAUAAUUGUUAAGUGGAAAAGGAUGUGGGGUUGCACAGACAACUAGGAUGUUAGCUUAGAAGCAGCUAUUCAUUCAAAGAGUGCGUAAUAGCUCACUAGUCGAGUGACCCUGCGCCGAAAAUGUACCGGGGCUAAAACAAUUUACCGAAGCUGUGGAUACCUUUAUAGGUAUGGUAGGAGAGCGUUCUAUGUGUGAUGAAGGUAUACCGUGAGGAGUGCUGGAACGCAUAGAAGUGAGAAUGCCGGUAUGAGUAGCGAAAGACAGGUGAGAAUCCUGUCCACCGUAAGACUAAGGUUUCCAGGGGAAGGCUCGUCCGCCCUGGGUUAGUCGGGACCUAAGGAGAGACCGAAAGGUGUAUCCGAUGGACAACAGGUUGAUAUUCCUGUACUAGAGUAUGUAGUGAUGGAGGGACGCAGUAGGCUAACUAAAGCAGACGAUUGGAAGAGUCUGUCUAAGCAGUGAGGUGUGAUAUGAGUCAAAUGCUUAUAUCUGUAACAUUGAGCUGUGAUGGGGAGCGAAGUUUAGUAGCGAAGUUAGUGACGUCACACUGCCAAGAAAAGCUUCUAGCGUUUAAACAUACUCUACCCGUACCGCAAACCGACACAGGUAGUCGAGGCGAGUAGCCUCAGGUGAGCGAGAGAACUCUCGUUAAGGAACUCGGCAAAAUGACCCCGUAACUUCGGGAGAAGGGGUGCUGACUUUAAGUCAGCCGCAGUGAAUAGGCCCAAGCAACUGUUUAUCAAAAACACAGCUCUCUGCUAAAUCGUAAGAUGAUGUAUAGGGGGUGACGCCUGCCCGGUGCUGGAAGGUUAAGAGGAGUGCUUAGCGUAAGCGAAGGUAUGAAUUGAAGCCCCAGUAAACGGCGGCCGUAACUAUAACGGUCCUAAGGUAGCGAAAUUCCUUGUCGGGUAAGUUCC